UCUCCCGGAGCCAGAGAAGAGUUUUGUGUCUCCCGGCUCUGGGCAUGCGCAGAUCGGGGGCGGGGCGGAGUGUGAUCAGCUGCUGGGUGUGUGACUGAGAUCAGGGCUCUUAUCGUACUGAGCGUGGCCCUGUUCUGCCAGGUGCUGAAGAGACCCCACGUGAGAUCAGACCCCCCUGUUGUGCCAGGCUACAGACUAACGUCCACGUUUGCUCCAGAUCAUCCCAUCCUCCCAGGGGGCAGGAAAUGGCUACAAUGGAGGUGGCUCAGG
Long non-coding RNA from Mauremys mutica (yellowpond turtle), 270 nucleotides. RefSeq lists it as uncharacterized. The record is from RefSeq and is a predicted model, not a curated record. Lineage: Eukaryota; Metazoa; Chordata; Testudines; Geoemydidae. The transcript has 3 exons.